AACGUAGGUACCGAGCGUUAUCCGGAUUUACUGGGCGUAAAGCGCGCGUAGGCGGCUUUGUAAGUCAGAGGUGAAAGCCUGGAGCUCAACUCCAGAACUGCCUUUGAGACUGCAUCGCUAGAAUCAUGGAGAGGUAAGUGGAAUUCCGAGUGUAGAGGUGAAAUUCGUAGAUAUUCGGAAGAACACCAGUGGCGAAGGCGACUUACUGGACAUGUAUUGACGCUGAGGUGCGAAAGCGUGGGGAGCAAACAGG
This 253-nucleotide ribosomal RNA is filed under the name uncultured bacterium. Its description in RNAcentral is "partial 16S ribosomal RNA". It matches the Rfam family "Bacterial small subunit ribosomal RNA", at positions 524 to 776 of the family's 1533-position model. The record is from RNAcentral.